RNAcentral lists this ribosomal RNA (253 nucleotides) under uncultured bacterium. RNAcentral's name for it is "partial 16S ribosomal RNA". It matches the Rfam family "Bacterial small subunit ribosomal RNA", at positions 524 to 776 of the family's 1533-position model. The record is from RNAcentral.
GACGGGGGGUCCUAGCGUUGUUCGGAAUCAUUGGGCGUAAAGCGUGUGCAGGUGGUUUGGUAAGUUGGAUGUGAAAGCCCCGGGCUUAACCCGGGAAGGGCAUUCAAAACUACCAAACUUGAGUAAGGUAGAGGGUCGUGGAAUUCCUGGUGUAGUGGUGAAAUACGUAGAUAUCAGGAGGAACACCGGCGGCGAAGGCGGCGACCUGGACCUAUACUGACACUCAUACACGAAAGCGUGGGGAUCAAACAGG